Molecule: ribosomal RNA, 492 nt
Filed under: uncultured bacterium
Lineage: Bacteria
Description: partial 16S ribosomal RNA
Rfam family: Bacterial small subunit ribosomal RNA
Source: RNAcentral
AGUGAACGCUGGCGGUAGGCCUAACACAUGCAAGUCGAACGGCAGCACAGUAAGAGCUUGCUCUUACGGGUGGCGAGUGGCGGACGGGUGAGGAAUACAUCGGAAUCUACUUUUUCGUGGGGGAUAACGUAGGGAAACUUACGCUAAUACCGCAUACGACCUACGGGUGAAAGCAGGGGAUCUUCGGACCUUGCGCGAUUGCAUGAGCCGAUGUCGGAUUAGCUAGUUGGCGGGGUAACGGCCCACCAAGGCGACGAUCCGUAGCUGGUCUGAGAGGAUGAUCAGCCACACUGGAACUGAGACACGGUCCAGACUCCUACGGGAGGCAGCAGUGGGGAAUAUUGGACAAUGGGCGCAAGCCUGAUCCAGCCAUACCGCGUGAGUGAAGAAGGCGUUCGGGUUGUAAAGCCCUUUUGUUGGGAAAGAAAAGCAGCAGGUUAAUACCCCGCUGUUCUGACGGUACCCAAAGAAUAAGCACCGGCUAACUUCGUG